ACGUGAAAUUGUUGAAAGGGAAGCGUUUAUGACCAGACUUGGACUUGGUUAAUCAUCUGGGGUUCUCCCCAGUGCACUUUUCCAGUUCAGGCCAGCAUCAGUUUUCCCCGGGGGAUAAAGGCGGCGGGAAUGUGGCUCUCUUCGGGGAGUGUUAUAGCCCGCCGUGUAAUACCCUGGGGGGGACUGAGGUUCGCGCAUCUGCAAGGAUGCUGGUGUAAUGGUCAUCAACGACCCGUCUUGAAACACGG
RNAcentral lists this ribosomal RNA (248 nucleotides) under Fusarium sp. Its description in RNAcentral is "partial large subunit ribosomal RNA". It matches the Rfam family "Eukaryotic large subunit ribosomal RNA", at positions 397 to 664 of the family's 3401-position model. The record is from RNAcentral. Lineage: Eukaryota; Fungi; Ascomycota; Sordariomycetes; Hypocreales; Nectriaceae.